GAUUAAUAACGUAGUGAAAUGCGAUAAGUAAUGUGAAUUGCAGAACUCAGUGAAUCAUCGAAUCUUUGAACGCACAUUGCGCCCCUUGGUAUUCCAUGGGGCAUGCCUGUUCGAGCGUCAUCUACACCCUCAAGCUCUGCUUGGUGUUGGGCGUCUGUCCCGCCUUUGCGCGUGGACUCGCCCCAAAUUCAUUGGCAGCGGUCCUUGCCUCCUCUCGCGCAGCACAUUUGCGCUUCUCGAGGUGCGCGGGCCGCGUCCACGAAGCAACUAUUACCGUCUUUGACCUCGGAUCAGGUAGGGAUACCCGCUGAACUUAAGCAUAUCAAUAAGCGGAGGA
RNAcentral lists this unclassified non-coding RNA (337 nucleotides) under soil metagenome. Its description in RNAcentral is "partial contains 5.8S ribosomal RNA, internal transcribed spacer 2, and large subunit ribosomal RNA". The stretch from base 1 to 120 matches the Rfam family "5.8S ribosomal RNA", at positions 35 to 154 of the family's 154-position model. The record is from RNAcentral.